AGUCUCUGAACGUGGCACAAGUGCUUGUCAUCACAGGCUGUGUGGGAGGUGACCCCAGGCCUGGCUCUCUCCACCACUGACCUCUCCUGACUCACCCAGGACACUGUCCUUGAACCUUCUUGUCCCCUCAUUUCCAGGUGGCAGAUAGUUGGCAUUGCUUUCCCUCCAAGGCAGCAGGUGCCACCUAUAUAAUCUGAGGUGUGGCCCCAAAUCUGCUGUCACAGCAGCAACCCAUGGGAUAUAUGAAUACUUAGGCCCAGCCCUGCCCCGGGGUGUAUGUGGGAGAACAGAGGACAAUGUUACAGGAGUCCGUUCUCCCCAUCUUUCCAUCUGGGUCGUGGGGAAUCCAGCUCAGGUCAUCCGGCUUGGUGGCAAGUAUCUAUCCACCGAUUCACCUCUCUGGCCACAAGGGAACUUGGUUUGGAUUGGUUACCCUAGAACUCCAUCCCACCUUAACUCUCUAACAAGCUCAGCAACUUGACAUUCUGGGUCAGAUGUCAAGCUGGGAUGAGAACGGUAGCUCAGUGGUCAGUCGCCUGACUGGUGUACGGAGGGCUGUGUGUUUGGUUCCCAGCGCUGCACGUCUUACCCCAUUAUGGGGGGUUCCGUCUUGUCCGUCAGAUUGCCAGUCAGCAUCAAGUAGCCCUCCUCAAGUAUGACCCUUCCCAAUCCUCCAAAAAAAAAAAAAAA
RNAcentral lists this long non-coding RNA (690 nucleotides) under Rattus norvegicus (Norway rat). Its description in RNAcentral is "long non-coding RNA NONRATT006282". Lineage: Eukaryota; Metazoa; Chordata; Mammalia; Rodentia; Muridae. The record is from RNAcentral.